CACCAGAAAGCUUAGCUGGUAGAGCACCUAACUAGAGAUUCAGGGGGCCUGGGAUUGAAUCUCAGUCUGGUCU
This 73-nucleotide transfer RNA is filed under the name Magallana gigas (Pacific oyster). RNAcentral's name for it is "Crassostrea gigas (Pacific oyster) tRNA". It matches the Rfam family "tRNA". Rfam says of the family: Transfer RNA (tRNA) molecules are approximately 80 nucleotides in length. Their secondary structure includes four short double-helical elements and three loops (D, anti-codon, and T loops). Lineage: Eukaryota; Metazoa; Mollusca; Bivalvia; Ostreida; Ostreidae. The record is from Rfam by way of RNAcentral.